Cricetulus griseus (Chinese hamster) is the source of this 1014-nucleotide non-coding RNA. The record is from RefSeq and is a predicted model, not a curated record. NCBI's taxonomy places the organism in Eukaryota, Metazoa, Chordata, Mammalia, Rodentia, Cricetidae.
GUGUGUGUCUUAUCAGGUGAGUUGCUUUUUCAUUUUGAGAUUUUUUUUGAGUGACUUUGUAGGAAGUCACAGUGAAGAGGAAUUUGAGUGUCAAAUUCCUGAAAGAUUAGAGACAGAAUUACAGAAUUGGUUUCUUUUUUUAACCAAUUUCAGUAUGGCAAUAAUAAACACAAGUCAUUUAUUUUCCCAUUUCUUGCUCAAUAAAAAGUUUCUAGUUUCUCUCAACCAGAGCGCUGACAAUGGCAAGUUUACACUGGGAGACACUUUUGGGUUGUGGACUUGUUAUCCAUUGUCGGUCUGCUUUUAAUGAUAAGGUUGAACCCAGGGCUUUUGCUAGGCUAGGCAAGCACUCUAAGCUGGGCUGGGCUGGGCUGGGCUGAGCUUUCAUCCCCAGCACCUGGUGCUACACUGAUCUUACAGAUUACAGCUGUUGUCUCAUUGCUUGUCUUCCCUCCAGAUGUGAGCCCAGGGAUCGGGACUAAGUUGGUUUCUGGAAACUUAUUUAACCCACUAGGCCUGGAUAAGUAGAUUUUUGUUCCUUUGCCUCUUCAGGCAGAUCUCUUAUUUUGAAUGUGAAAAAUGGCACAAACAGGACACAAACAGCCAACCCUACCUCAAUGCAGACUGCUCUCUCCUCACCAACCUGAAGCCUUACCCCUGGGCAACUGUUACACCUCCAAAACCUUCAUCCAAAAGCACCCGAACUGAAGGAUGAUCUGCAACCAAACCUCUAAGCCACUUAUGGUACCUCAUACAAGUGGAAGCUGCAGGAUUUGCCUUGAGCACUGGGAGUGUUUCGUUUAGCACAGUACCUUCUACACUGUCAACGUGGCACCCUGAAGAAGAUUUAAUCUUACACGAAGACACAUUUUCUUCCACCACUCACCUGUCAAUGGACAAACAGGUUGUCUCCUAAGUUGGUUAGUGUGAACACUGCUGCCAUGAAAAUGAACACACAGCUACCUGUCUGAGGUCAUGAUUUCAAUUCUUUGGAAUAAAUACCAAGAAGUAGGA